AGAACGAACGCUGGCGGCGUGGAUAAGACAUGCAAGUCGAACGAGAUUUUUCGUUGUAGCAAUACGAUGGAAAAUUUAGUGGCGAACGGGUGCUUAACACGUGGGCAACCUGCCAAGAAGUGGGGGAUAGCUCGCCGAAAGGCGAAUUAAUACCGCAUGUGAUUAGAGAGGACAUCUUUUCAAAAUUAAAGUCGGGGCAACCUGACGCUUCUUGUGGGGCCCGCGGCCUAUCAGCUAGUUGGUGAGGUAAAGGCUCACCAAGGCUUUGACGGGUAGCUGGUCUGAGAGGACGACCAGCCACACUGGGACUGAGACACGGCCCAGACACCUACGGGUGGCAGCAGUCGAGAAUUUUUGACAAUGGGGAAACCCUGAUCGAGCGACGCCGCGUGGAGGAUGAAGGUCUUCGGAUUGUAAACCCCUUUCAGCAGGGACGAAGCGAAAGUGACGGUACCUGCAGAAGAAGCGCCGGCUAACUACGCGCCAGCAGCCGCGGU
RNAcentral lists this ribosomal RNA (497 nucleotides) under uncultured bacterium. RNAcentral describes it as "SSU rRNA". It matches the Rfam family "Bacterial small subunit ribosomal RNA", at positions 26 to 521 of the family's 1533-position model. The record is from RNAcentral.